AGCAGCCGCGGUAAUUCCAGCUCCAAUAGCGUAUAUUAAAGUUGUUGCAGUUAAAAAGCUCGUAGUUGAAUUUUAGGCCUGACCGGACGGUCCGUCUCUGGCGAGUACUGUUCUGCUGUCGGGUCUAUCCUUCUGGUGAGCCGGUAUGCCCUUUAUUGGGUGUGUCGGGGAACCAGGACCAUUACCUUGAAAAAAUUAGAGUGUUUAAAGCGGGCUUUUGCUUGAAUAGAUUAGCAUGGAAUAAUAGAAUAGGACGUUGGUUCUAUUUUGUUGGUCUAGGACCACCGUAAUGAUUAAUAGGGAUAGUUGGG
This 311-nucleotide ribosomal RNA is filed under the name uncultured Archaeospora. Its description in RNAcentral is "SSU rRNA". It matches the Rfam family "Eukaryotic small subunit ribosomal RNA", at positions 569 to 886 of the family's 1831-position model. Lineage: Eukaryota; Fungi; Glomeromycota; Glomeromycetes; Archaeosporales; Archaeosporaceae. The record is from RNAcentral.